GUGGGGAAUAUUGGGCAAUGGGGGAAACCCUGACCCAGCAACGCCGCAUGAAGGAAGAAGGUUUUCGGAUCGUAAACUUCUAUCCUUGGUGAAGAUAAUGACGGUAGCCAAGAAGGAAGCCCCGGCUAACUACGUGCCAGCAGCCGCGGUAAUACGUAGGGGGCAAGCGUUGUCCGGAAUGAUUGGGCGUAAAGGGCGCGUAGGCGGCCUGGUAAGUCUGGAGUGAUAGUUCUGCUUGUAAGGUGGGAAUUGCUUGGGGUACUGUCGGGCUUGAGUGCAGGAGAGGUAAGCGGAAUUCCCGGUGUAGCGGUGAAAUGCGUAGAGAUCGAGAGGAACACCAGUGGCGAAGGCGGCUUACUGGACUGUAACUGACGCUGAGGCGCGAAAGUGUGGGGAGCAAACAGGAUUAGAAACCCCGGUAGUCC
Molecule: ribosomal RNA, 425 nt
Filed under: uncultured bacterium
Lineage: Bacteria
Description: partial 16S ribosomal RNA
Rfam family: Bacterial small subunit ribosomal RNA
Source: RNAcentral